This 782-nucleotide ribosomal RNA is filed under the name Clitopilus sp. JX-2019a. RNAcentral describes it as "partial large subunit ribosomal RNA". It matches the Rfam family "Eukaryotic large subunit ribosomal RNA", at positions 133 to 904 of the family's 3401-position model. Lineage: Eukaryota; Fungi; Basidiomycota; Agaricomycetes; Agaricales; Entolomataceae. The record is from RNAcentral.
GCUGCCCGAGUUGUAAUCUAGAGAAGCGUUAUCCGCGCUGGACCGUGUAUAAGUCUCCUGGAAUGGAGCGUCAUAGAGGGUGAGAAUCCCGUCUUUGACACGGACUACCAGGGCUUUGUGAUGCGCUCUCAAAGAGUCGAGUUGUUUGGGAAUGCAGCUCUAAAUGGGUGGUAAAUUCCAUCUAAAGCUAAAUAUUGGCGAGAGACCGAUAGCGAACAAGUACCGUGAGGGAAAGAUGAAAAGAACUUUGGAAAGAGAGUUAAACAGUACGUGAAAUUGUUGAAAGGGAAACGCUUGAAGUCAGUCACAUUAGCCAGAAAUCAGCCUUGCUUUUGCUUGGUGUACUUUCUGGUUGAUGGGUCAGCAUCAGUUUUGACCGGUGGAAAAAGGCCAGUGGAAUGUGGCACCUCCGGGUGUGUUAUAGCUGCUGGUUGUAUACAUCGGUUGGGACUGAGGAACUCAGCACGCCGCAAGGUCGGGGUUCGCCCACGUUCGUGCUUAGGAUGCUGGCAUAAUGGCUUUAAUCGACCCGUCUUGAAACACGGACCAAGGAGUCUAACAUGCCUGCGAGUGUUUGGGUGGAAAACCCGAGCGCGUAAUGAAAGUGAAAGUUGAGAUCCCUGUCGUGGGGAGCAUCGACGCCCGGACCAGACCUUUUGUGACGGAUCCGCGGUAGAGCAUGUAUGUUGGGACCCGAAAGAUGGUGAACUAUGCCUGAAUAGGGUGAAGCCAGAGGAAACUCUGGUGGAGGCUCGUAGCGAUUCUGACGUGCAAAUCGAUCG